GCGGAUGUAGUUUAAUAGAAGAACCCCAGCUUUCCAAGCUGGUUGUGCGGGUUCGAUUCCCGCCAUUCGCUCCA
This 74-nucleotide transfer RNA is filed under the name Eubacteriaceae bacterium CHKCI005. RNAcentral's name for it is "tRNA-Gly". It matches the Rfam family "tRNA". From Rfam's summary of the family: Transfer RNA (tRNA) molecules are approximately 80 nucleotides in length. The record is from RNAcentral. Lineage: Bacteria; Bacillati; Bacillota; Clostridia; Eubacteriales; Eubacteriaceae.